AUGGCUAUCAACCGAGUAUAUUUUUUCAUUGCAAUUCUUUGUAUUGCUUUAGUUUUGCAUCCAGGUGGGGCAAGAAGAUAUGAAGAAAUUAUGAGUGAUGAUAUCACGACUGAUUGUUUUGACACACCAGAAUGUCCAUUAUCUAAUGAAAGUUGUUUACAGAGAUGUGAACGACGAGAAUCAGAAGUUCUAAGUAAGCAAAAGCGAAGAGCUGAUCAAAUUUGCUUUGGACAAUGA
Non-coding RNA from Vicia faba (fava bean), 237 nucleotides. NCBI's taxonomy places the organism in Eukaryota, Viridiplantae, Streptophyta, Magnoliopsida, Fabales, Fabaceae. The record is from the annotation of a GenBank genome assembly.